This 417-nucleotide unclassified non-coding RNA is filed under the name fungal sp. RNAcentral's name for it is "partial internal transcribed spacer region". The stretch from base 1 to 46 matches the Rfam family "Eukaryotic small subunit ribosomal RNA", at positions 1786 to 1831 of the family's 1831-position model. Lineage: Eukaryota; Fungi. The record is from RNAcentral.
AAGUCGUAACAAGGUAUCCGUAGGUGAACCUGCGGAUGGAUCAUUAACACUUUUUCCAAAAAAACCUUUAGUGUCCAAAUCAUUUGGACCACUAAAACCCCCUUUUUAGCGAACUUUGUCUACGGUUGAUUUUGUUUUCAGCAACGGGCUGUUCUUUUUUUCUUCUCCUCUUUUUUUUUUAAAGAGGAAGAAAAAGAGACACGGUUGAAUAGGGGGGAAUAAGACACACCUGUGUGUUUUGUUUUCCUUUGUGGAAAUGGAUUAUUCGUAAUCUUAUUUCUACCCGUUCUAAAAUCAAUCGGGUUAUUUCUCGAUUCAUUUUUUAUUUAAAAACCCCAAUUCAACUUUUCUAGACUAAACCUUAAAAAAAACAAAAACUAAGAAAAACAACUCUUAGCAACGGAUAUCUUGGCUCUC